AAUAAAAAUUGUUUAAUGGCAUUGUCCAAACGGAAGACACAAUAUACAAUAAUAUGAAAAAUGCAUAAGAACAAUAAUAACAAUAUAUGACUUAAAAUAAAAUCAGUAGAUGAAAAAAUCUACACCGCCAAAAGAAAAACAUAUCAUACUCCAGUAAAACAAUCUCAACAAUCAUAUAAGAAUAGUAAUAACGGAAAUACUGAUUCACACCUAAUAUAUUAUGAAAUGAUUCAAAAUAAAAACAAAUGUUAGACAAAAUACUAAAUGAACCCCUCUCCAGCGCUACUAUAUCCGACUUA
This 299-nucleotide long non-coding RNA is filed under the name Brassica napus (rape). RNAcentral describes it as "long non-coding RNA (BNAP_LNC021592)". The record is from RNAcentral. Lineage: Eukaryota; Viridiplantae; Streptophyta; Magnoliopsida; Brassicales; Brassicaceae.